CAUGCUCUUAUUCCUCUUUUAACCUUGAUAAUGUUUAUGAAACUACCUGUCUUACAUUGCUAUUGUUUUGUAAGCCAUGUUGAUGCAUGUGGUCCCUGUUACCAUGGGAUAACAUCUUGAUUGCCAUUACCUCUCUGGCUCGUUAUGACCAUAUAAAUGUAAAUGUUCUGUAUUGCCAACAUAAAGAAUGUAAAUUUCUAAGAAGAAAAAUACCAACUGAAACUAAGUUGAUAUCUGGAAUACUUGCUGUCACCUCCAAACAUUUUGAAUUCAUUCAUCCUACUGCAUCCUUUAGACAUUAAUGUCUGUGACCAGACAUAUCAUGCUUUUCCUACUAUUUCUAGAAGCAUGUUGAUGCCAGGGUUCUUUUCCUGCCAAUGGAUCUGAUGUUGAUGUCCAUCAGUUCUGCUACUUAAGACCAUGUUCUGUCUUUCCAUGAUGAAGAAAGUUAAUUUCCCUGCUUCCAUCUACCAAAGUAAACUAUGUGGCUAUCCUUUCAACAUGCUGCCACCUGAAACCUUGUGGAUUUUAUUGAUCCCUGCUACUUCUUUUACCCAUAUGGAUGUCCAUUUUUAGAACUAUAAUGCUUUUCCUACUUCUUCUGGUAGCAGUGUUGACGCUCAUGCUUUUGUAAACAACUUGACACCAUGUUGGUUUCCAUGAUCUCUCCUGAUACAGGUAUUUAUGUUAAUGUAGGUGUUACUUAUUGCCAAUGUAUAGAAUGGUAAUUUCCAAGAUUUAACCAACUUUUGUUAACUAGUUGAUACACAUUAUUCAUGCUCUCACCUGCAGCCAUGCUGAUGUUAUUGAUCACUGAUGCCUUUGCAAACCCUGUUGAUAUUAAUGAAUGGAGCUCCCCUGUAUUCCUAUUGGUUUUGUAAUCCACAUUGGUGCAGGUGGUCUUUUUUAUCAUGGGCUAACAUCUUGAUUGUCAUAAAUUCUCUAGUCCCUUAUGACCAUAUUAAGGCAAGUGUUCCUUUUGGCAAUGUGUAGAAUGGUAAUUUCCAAGAUAUAUCAAGCAUUGGUAAAUAAACAAAUAUCCAUAUUUCAUGCUGCCACAUCCUACCAUGCUGAUCUCAUUGAUACCUUUUGCCACUGUUAACCCUGUUGAUGUCUAUGAAUGUACCUGUAAUGCAUUUGUUGUUUCUGUAAGCCAUGUUGACGCAUGUCCUUAUUACCAUGGGAUAACACCUUGAUUGCUUUCAAUUCUCCAUCACCUUAUCACCUUAUUUAUGUAAGUGUUCCUUUACCCAUAUGAAGAAUGUAAUUUCCAAGAAUUGAUAUACUAACAGAAACUAAGUUAAUAUCCUGAAUACAUGCUGCUACCUCCAAACAAGUUGAGGUCUUUAAUCACUGCUGAGUCUCUUAAAUAUGUUCUUGUCCAUGAUUGGAACUAUAAUGCUAUUCCUACUCCUUCUGGAAGCAAUGUUGAUGCUCAUGAUCUUCCUACCACUAUGAUCUUUCCUCCUACAAGUUACCAUGCUAAUGUAAGAGUUCUUUUCUGGCAACAUAUUGAAUGGUAAUUGCUAAAAUUUAAUGAAACUUUGGUAACUUAGCUGGUGCCUGUAAUUCAUGUUUACAUGUGCACUCAUGCUGAUGUCAUUGAACACUACUGUGUCUGUUUACCUUGUUGAUGUCUAUGAAAGGACCUCCUGGGCAUUCCUUUGUUUCUGUAAGCCAUGUUGAUGCAUGUGGUCCUUUUUUUAAUGGGAUAACAUCUUGAUUGCCAUGACCUCUCUGGCCCCUUACGGCCAUAUUAAGGUAAGUGUACAUUUUGCAAACAUGAGGAAUGUAAAUUUUCAUGAUGUGAAAUACCAACUGAAGGUAAGUUGAUAUCCGGAAUACUUGCUGCUACCUCCAUAUAAAUUGAAUUCAUUUAUCCCUGCUGCAUUUGGUAAACAUGUGGAUGUCCAGGAUCCAGUGUCUUAUGAAAUUUCUCGCAUUACUAGAAGCCAUGUGGAUGCCUGUGGUCCUUCUUGCCAGUAUAUUGCAUAUAAAUUUCCUUGAAAUCUUGACACCUGUGACAAUGCUAAUGUUAAGUAUUCUGUGCUCUCAAUGUGAAGAACAUUAAUUUCCAAGAAUUUAACCACCAACUGAAACUAUGUUGAUAUACAGAAUACAUGGUGCCACCUCCAAACAUGUUGAAGUCAUUGAUCCCUUCUGCCUCUGUUGGACAUAUUGGUGUUUAUGAUUCUAAUUAUGAUAUUCCUAGUACAUUUGAAAUCCAUGAUGAUUCCCAUCAUAUUUGUACCAGUGGAUACCUUAUUGUUUUUUGUGAUCUCUCCUGCUGUCUUUACCUUGUUAAAUUAAAUGUUCACUCACCAACAUGAAGAAUAUUAAGUUCCAAGAUAUAACCAUUGAAAUGUUAAGUUCCAAGAUUUCACUAAUCUUGGAAACUAAUUUUAUUCCCAUAAUUCUUGGUGUCAUCUGAAUCUAUGGUUAUUGUAUUGAUCCCUCUUGUCUCUGUUAACCAUGUUGAUGCCUAUGAUCAGAUCUUCCAUGCUGUUGUUAUUCUUUCUGGAAGCCAUGUUGAUUUCCCUGCUCCUUGUUACCUCUGGAUAACUUCUUGAUAUUGGUGACCUGUGUGGUCAAUUUAUGACCAUAUUAAGAUAAAUUUUCUGUGAUUCCAACAUGAACAAAGUAAAUUUCCAAGAAUUCAACUAUCAUCUAAAACUAAGUUAAUAAUCACAAUUCAUGCUGCUGUCUAUACACAUGCUGACGCCAUUGUUUCCUGCUCCCUCUUAACGGUUUUGAUGUCCAUGACCAGACAUUCCAUGGUAUUCCUAUGAUUUCGGGGAGUCAUGUUAAUGCCUGUGGUUCUUCUUGCUGCUCAAUAUGAAGUUUAUAUCUAUCUUUCCUGCCAUUGUUUUGUGAAUGAGAAAAAUGUUAAUUUUCAAGAUUUAAUGUGCAGUCUGAAAAUAAGUUGAUAUCUAUGAUUCAUGCUGCCACCUGCAACCAUGUUGAUGUCAUUGAUCCUACUCUGUUAAUCAAAUUGAUGUCUAACAUAGGACAUCAUGCUAUUCCUGCUUCUUCUGGAAGCCAUGUAGAUGCCUGUGGUCCUUCUUAACCACUACAUACAUUGUUGAUGUCCAAUAACUCUCCUGCCCCUUGUGACUGCAUUAAAUUAUUGUUCUGUGUUACCAACAUGCAGAAUGUUAAUUUGCAAGAUUUAACCCACCAUCCAAAUGUAAGAUGAAAUCCAUAAUUCAUGUUGCCACCUGAAACCAUGUUGAUGCCAUUGAUCCCAUGUGCCUCUGUUAACCAAAUUGAUGUCCAUUAUUGAAUGACGUACCAUGCUCUUACUACUAUUUCUGGAAGCCUUGUUGAUGCUUGUGGUCUUUCUUACUGUAGAUAUGACAUUGAUGUCCAUAUCCAUGGAGAUAUUCUGCUACCUGAGACCCUACUGAUGCAAGAGUUCUGUGCUGCCAAUUUGAUGAAUGUUAAUUGCCAUGAUCUUAGCUACCAUCUGAAACUGGUGAUAUUUACAUGCUACCACCUGCAACCUUGUUGAUGACAUUGAUACCUGCUGUUCUUUUUAUCAUGUUCAUGAGAUUUACUAUGCUAUUCCUAUUGGUUUGAAGUCCAUGUUGAUGCCUUAUGUUACAUUUUACUCCUGGAUAAGGUGUUGAUGUUGAUGUCCAUGUUCUGUCCUACCACCUGAGACCAAACUGAGGAAAUCAUGUUGAUGUCACUGUUCUUUGCUACAUCUUCUAACCAUGUUGAUGUUCAUCAUCCAAGCUACUGUCCAAACUUUGUUGAUGUUACUGAUCUAUGUUGUAGCUGUCAACCAUGUUGAGGUUACUGAACUUUGCUACCACCUGUAACCAUAUUGAUGUCUGCAGUGUACAGUGUCAUCAGAAACAGUGUUGAAUUCAUUUGUCCAUACUGCUACCUUAGACCCAGUUCAAGCAACCAUGUUGAUGUGAGUGAUUCUCGCUGCCUCUCUUAACCUUGCUGAUGUCCAUGAUUCGACCUGUCAUCUGAAACUUUGUUGAUGUCACUGAUCUUUGCUAUUGCUGUCAACCAUGUUGAUGCUACUGAAACUUGCUUCCACUUGUAAUCAUACUGCUGUCUCUAGUCUGUUAUAAUCUGUUACAAUUCUGAAAUCAGUGGUAUAUACUACCACCUGAGAACCACUUCAGGAAACCAACCAUGUUGAUGUCACUGAUCUUUGUUCCCUGUUUUGACCAUGUGGAUGUCCAUUAUCUGACUUAACAUCUGAAAUUAUGUUGAUGUCACUCAUUCAUGCUGCUGCUGAUAACCAUGUUUAUGGCCAUAGUCUUUGUUGGAAUCUUAGACCUUGUGAAUGUCCAUUGUCCAUGUUGCCACCUGAGUCCAUGAUGAUGACCAUGAUGACUUUAGUCUGUGCUGCUGUCAGCCAUAAUGUCGAUGUCUCUGAUUGGUGCUGCUGCUGGGGACUAGGUCAAUAUGAAUGAUCUGAGCUGCCAACAGAAACUAUUUUGAUAUCAUUAAGUCAUACUUGUGCUGGAGACCAUGUUGAAAUCUUUGUCCUUGAUGCCCUCAAAUACUACGUUUAUGUUCAUGCUCUGGGUUGCAUGCUGAAGACCAGUUGGAUAUCCAUGACCCAGCUAUUGAUGGAGACUGUGUCGAUGUCUGUGGUCAGUAUUGCCACAAGAAAGCAUCCUGAUAGUGAUCUAUGAUGCCUCCCUCAAACAUGUUAUGUUGGUGAUCUGUUUUGAUGUUCUGGACCAGAUGGAUGGCAGUUAUCCAAGAGGUCACAAGGAAUCUUGUGGACUAUGAUCUGUGCUGCUCCUGGAAACCCUGUAGAAGUUUAUGAUUCAUUCUGCUGCUGGAAACCAUGUGGAAGGCCUUGAUCUGUACUGUCACUGCCUUCUCUGGGCAAGGAAUUUCUUUUGCAGUACUAUCAAUGACUGUAGAAUCAUAACUGAAAUUCAGACAGACAUUGAAGUCUUCUGUGCCACCAUCCCUCCAAAAAAAGAAAAUCUAGACAGGAUCUUAUUGGAGAGUUUUUGAAAGUUGUAAUAAAAAUAUGUAACUGUAGCUCUUCACAGUUGAUGGCUUCAGGCAGGGGUUGGGAAAGAACUCCUUUUUAAAGGGCUGGCUACUGCAAGUUUGCCCAUGCUCCAAUGAGUAUAAGGAGAACACCCAUUGGACUUGUUAUAUUGUAUUUUUUCUAUUCUGGGGGAGGAUGCCACAAGGGUGAGAGGGUGGACCUGGGAGGAACGGGAAUCAAGUGUGAUUGAGGUAUGUUGUAUGACAUUCUCAAAUGAUUAAUGAAAUAUUAGGUUGGGAAAAUAAAAAAAAGUGUGAAAUAGUAUGUAUUUGAAA
Molecule: long non-coding RNA, 5310 nt
Organism: Peromyscus leucopus (white-footed mouse)
Lineage: Eukaryota; Metazoa; Chordata; Mammalia; Rodentia; Cricetidae
Exons: 4
Source: RefSeq, a predicted model, not a curated record